UGGCCCCAGCAUGGAUAACAGGUAGCUA
Molecule: non-coding RNA, 28 nt
Filed under: Homo sapiens (human)
Lineage: Eukaryota; Metazoa; Chordata; Mammalia; Primates; Hominidae
Source: RNAcentral